This 425-nucleotide ribosomal RNA is filed under the name uncultured bacterium. RNAcentral's name for it is "bacterial SSU rRNA". It matches the Rfam family "Bacterial small subunit ribosomal RNA", at positions 354 to 796 of the family's 1533-position model. The record is from RNAcentral.
GUGGGGGAUAUUGCGCAAUGGGGGAAACCCUGACGCAGCAACGCCGCGUGAAGGAAGAAGGUCUUCGGAUUGUAAACUUUUGUCUUGUGGGAAGAUAAUGACGGUACCACAGGAGGAAGCUCCGGCUAACUACGUGCCAGCAGCCGCGGUAAUACGUAGGGAGCGAGCGUUGUCCGGAUUUACUGGGUGUAAAGGGUGCGUAGGCGGCUGAUUAAGUCAGGUGUGAAAUACCGCAGCUUAACUGCGGGGCUGCACUUGAAACUGAUCGGCUUGAGUGAUGGAGAGGUAAGCGGAAUUCCUAGUGUAGCGGUGAAAUGCGUAGAUAUUAGGAGGAACACCAGUGGCGAAGGCGGCUUACUGGACAUUAACUGACGCUGAGGCACGAAAGCGUGGGGAGCAAACAGGAUUAGAAACCCCAGUAGUCC